AUUGAACGCUGGCGGCAUGCCUUACACAUGCAAGUCGAACGGCAGCACGGGGCAACCUGGUGGCGAGUGGCGAACGGGUGAGUAAUGCAUCGGAACGUACCUUUCAGUGGGGGAUAACGUAGCGAAAGUUACGCUAAUACCGCAUAUUCUGUGAGCAGGAAAGCAGGGGAUCGCAAGACCUUGCGCUGAUUGAGCGGCCGAUGUCAGAUUAGCUAGUUGGUUGGGUAAAGGCUCACCAAGGCGACGGUCUGUAGCGGGUCUGAGAGGAUGAUCCACCACACUGGAACUGAGACACGGUCCAGACUCCUACGGGAGGCAGCAGUGGGGAAUUUUGGACAAUGGGGGCAACCCUGAUCAAGCCAGGCCGCGUGAGUGAAGAAGGCCUUCGGGUUGUAAAGCUCUUUCGGCCGGGAAGAAAUCGGACGGGCUAAUACCCUGUGUGGAUGACGGUACCGGAAUAAGAAGCACCGGCUAACUACGUGCCAGCAGCCGCAGUAA
This 498-nucleotide ribosomal RNA is filed under the name uncultured bacterium. RNAcentral describes it as "partial 16S ribosomal RNA". It matches the Rfam family "Bacterial small subunit ribosomal RNA", at positions 30 to 523 of the family's 1533-position model. The record is from RNAcentral.